GAUGAACGCUGGCGGCGUGCCUAAUACAUGCAAGUCGAGCGAACGGACGAGAAGCUUGCUUCUCUGAUGUUAGCGGCGGACGGGUGAGUAACACGUGGAUAACCUACCUAUAAGACUGGGAUAACUUCGGGAAACCGGAGCUAAUACCGGAUAAUAUUUUGAACCGCAUGGUUCAAAAGUGAAAGACGGUCUUGCUGUCACUUAUAGAUGGAUCCGCGCUGCAUUAGCUAGUUGGUAAGGUAACGGCUUACCAAGGCAACGAUGCAUAGCCGACCUGAGAGGGUGAUCGGCCACACUGGAACUGAGACAAGGUCCAGACUCCUAAGGGAGGCAGCAGUAGGGAAUCUUCCGCAAUGGGCGAAAGCCUGACGGAGCAAAGCCGCGUGAGUGAUGAAGGUCUUCGGAUCGUAAAACUCUGUUAUUAGGGAAGAACAUAUGUGUAAGUAACUGUGCACAUCUUGACGGUACCUAAUCAGAAAGCCACGGCUAACUACGUG
This 497-nucleotide ribosomal RNA is filed under the name uncultured bacterium. RNAcentral's name for it is "partial 16S ribosomal RNA". It matches the Rfam family "Bacterial small subunit ribosomal RNA", at positions 28 to 507 of the family's 1533-position model. The record is from RNAcentral.